RNAcentral lists this ribosomal RNA (1028 nucleotides) under Dictyosporium digitatum. Its description in RNAcentral is "SSU rRNA". It matches the Rfam family "Eukaryotic small subunit ribosomal RNA", at positions 68 to 1107 of the family's 1831-position model. RNAcentral also lists the same sequence under 1 other name. The record is from RNAcentral. Lineage: Eukaryota; Fungi; Ascomycota; Dothideomycetes; Pleosporales; Dictyosporiaceae.
AGCAUUAUACCGUGAAACUGCGAAUGGCUCAUUAAAUCAGUUAUCGUUUAUUUGAUAGUACCUUACUACUUGGAUACCCGUGGUAAUUCUAGAGCUAAUACAUGCUAAAAACCCCGACUUCGGGAGGGGUGUGUUUAUUAGAUAAAAAACCAACGCCCUUCGGGGCUCCUUGGUGAUUCAUGAUAACCUCUCAGAUCGCACGGCCUUGCGCCGGCGACGGUUCAUUCAAAUUUCUGCCCUAUCAACUUUCGAUGGUAAGGUAUUGGCUUACCAUGGUUUCAACGGGUAACGGGGAAUUAGGGUUCGAUUCCGGAGAGUGAGCCUGAGAAACGGCUCACACAUCCAAGGAAGGCAGCAGGCGCGCAAAUUACCCAAUCCCGACACGGGGAGGUAGUGACAAUAAAUACUGAUACAGGGCUCUUUUGGGUCUUGUAAUUGGAAUGAGUACAAUUUAAACCUCUUAACGAGGAACAAUUGGAGGGCAAGUCUGGUGCCAGCAGCCGCGGUAAUUCCAGCUCCAAUAGCGUAUAUUAAAGUUGUUGCAGUUAAAAAGCUCGUAGUUGAAUCUUUGGCCUGGCUGGCGGGUCCGCCUCACCGCGUGCACUUGUCCGGCCGGGCCUUCUCUUCUGGAGAACCGCAUGCCCUUCACUGGGCGUGUUGGGGACCAGGACUUUUACUUUGAAAAAAUUAGAGUGUUCAAAGCAGGCCUUUGCUCGAAUACGUUAGCAUGGAAUAAUAGAAUAGGACGUGCGGUCCUAUUUUGUUGGUUUCUAGGACCGCCGUAAUGAUUAAUAGGGACAGUCGGGGGCAUCAGUAUUCAAUUGUCAGAGGUGAAAUUCUUGGAUUUAUUGAAGACUAACUACUGCGAAAGCAUUUGCCAAGGAUGUUUUCAUUAAUCAGUGAACGAAAGUUAGGGGAUCGAAGACGAUCAGAUACCGUCGUAGUCUUAACCAUAAACUAUGCCGACUAGGGAUCGGGCGGUGUUAUCGAUUUGACCCGCUCGGCACCUUGCGAGAAAUCAAAGUGUU